GGGUGCCGCCGGGCGCCGCGGGCCGGUCCUCGGGGCUGCCGCUCCUGCCGGCCGGGCCGCCGCCCCUCUGGAGGCGCUCCACCGCCAGGAGGUGACUCUGCGUCUCCUCCAGAAUCUUCUGGGCCAGCUCCUGCGGGUCUAGCUUGGGGCUGCUUUCUUCUUGGGACUUGACGGUGCUGUCCGUUUCUGUGCUGGACUGGUCUGAUUCUCCCGUAUCUGAACUGGCCAGUUUUCCGACCUUUUGGAAGGGGGAGUUGGGGCUGGGGAUCAGAGUCAUCUUCACUGGAGAAUUCGGGGUGCUCAUGCUCCCCUUGGAGCUCACGGACACCUGGACACCUCCAGCCGCCCCGACUCGGGCGGGCUUGUGCUCCGGUGAGGCGCGCGCCUGCCUGCUUUCCUGGUAGGCCGCCAGGGGCUCGGUGCUGAUGAUGGAGAAGCCCUCGUACUCCUCCUCCUCCUUGCUCCCCGCAGGGCGGGGCUGGGGGCACAGCGGGCCCCGGGGCAGAGUGGAGCGCGGAGGGUAGGCGUUCUUGGGCCGGUCGUAGUCCUGCCGGCCGCGGGCGCCCCCCGCCUCCGACCCGGCCUCGGGCUUGGAGACGAAGCUCAUGGAGGAGGCAAUGGAGCUCAGGCUGUACACGGAGAUGGCGUCGGAGGCGAUGCUGUCGGCGCCGGUCGGGGAGAAGGGCGGGUGCUGGUAGCUCAAGGGCAGGGCGUUGGAGACAGACUGGGCGGAGGCCAGAGACUCCAGGGAGGACGAGCUGUCGAGGCUGAGGCGCUUGGGCAGCUCAGUAGAAUCUAAGACAAGACAGAGGUGCCCAGAGGGCAGUUAGAAUGUGCUGUGGUUUUGAAAUUUUUGUCAAAAUCACAGGCGUCCUCAAGCAGAGAAGCCCGCAGGGAGCUGUGCAAGUGCUGCUCACACUCGAUUUGAACUUCUCUUCCGCUCCGGAAGACCAUGGCCCCGAAAACUGCCUGUGGCCUGAGCAGUCGGGCUGCUCGUCCCUAGUUCCGCCGCCCCCUGCGUCACCUUCUCGGCCCUUGGCAGCGCCCGUCUCUACCACAGCUGUUCUAAUUGAUGACUUCUUCCUGACCAACUUCACAGAGAUCGAACCCUAGAGGAGCAAAGAAUAUGAAUCUCAGCUUCCCUAGGGAGGAGCCCGUGUCCUGAAGAGGAGAGCCGCAGGGCUCCCUGCACUGUCUCCCAGGCACCGGGCAGGCGCUGCUCUCUGACCUGCGUGCACCCUCGCCCCGAAUCCCAAUCCGUGUGGCUCCCUCCUGGCCCUUCCCGGAGCACCAGCUGCUCUCCUGCCCUGAAUUUUGUUCCCGAGAGAGGAUGGUCACAUGAUGCCUCAUGAGAAUCAGCUGCUUUCUCCAUUCUUUCCCAGAACAGUCCACUAGAAGACUUUAAGGACAAAAACUGGCCACUCCAUUCAGAAUUGGGUCCAAUAUUUAAAGCUGGAAGCUUCUCAAGGGCAAAGACAGUGUCCUCAUACGUGGUCAGCAUCUGCCACCAAGGGCUUUGGAACAAGCGGGCUCUGAUGGAGAAUCUGCCUCCUUGGCUAAAACCACCCUGCAGGGACCGCACUCUGCUCUGCUAAAGCCCAGGGGACUGUUUCCCGAGGCUAAUGGUUCUCAUGAGACUCCCGAGCGGGAAGCGGGCUCAAGCCACUGCCACUGCACCAAGACUUACAAAGACACCUUGUAGAGCCUCCGCCACACAUCUCCCUGGGAAGCGCAUAUGCAGAGGAAGCCAAAAGCAGACGCCAUGGCUAAGGGCUAAGUCUGCAGACAGGAUUUAGGUCCUGAGAAGCCCUCUGCCCUGCAAGGGUGCUCUCAGCCUCCUUGGGGGUCACUGAGCUCUGCCUGAAACAGCGGACACACUUGGUGCUACCGGGGCAGGACCCGCCACCCCAGGCCCUUCCCUCUGAUGUGUGUUCUGGUGACGGGUCUGUACGCUGUGCAUCUCAUGAUAUAGGCACCAAAGGAGAAAUGUGUUUAUAUUUUUAUUCUCAUGCAGAUUCUGAUACUGGUCUGACACUGUAAUUCCUCUUGGGAAUUUGGUUCACUUGAGGCGCUACCUCAGCCUUCUGGUUGCCAUGGGACAUUCUCCCCUCUGAACUCAAACAUAAACAGUCCCUGAAAGCAACUGAAAGGUCUCAGAGAACUCAGCAUUUAAAAACAAAUAGCUAAUUAAUAUAAAUGUUUCAGUUAGAGACCUCUACUUCUACCAAAACAAUUUGACUUGGUUACUCUAACGGAAGUAAAUAACUGGCAGCCCUGUGAUGGGUUGUGAUGGCUCCUGCUAGGUGCUGAGGGCUGGAAAGAGGGGAUUUCUUGGAGCCUCAGAACCCUCAAGAGUGAGGGAGUCAAUUCUCCAGAUGCCAAGCCUGCAGAGAUAUUUCCUCCCGGGGUCUCAGGCCAUGGGAUUCAAGAAUAAGCGUGUGCACACUGACUCAACCCUUGAGUAUCGGUGGAUUUGGAAAAUAGAGAAGUAGAGGCCAUCAAUGAAAAUAACCCACCAUCCCAACACCAGGGAGAGCCAAUGACAGCCCUGGAAAUAUCCAGUUCACAGGCGAGGAGGGCUAACUCUGUCACACCCACACUGAAGGGAAGUGUAGGCCCUGCAUGAGGAAGACUGCUUUUCCUUUAUUAAAAAAAAAAGGACUUGGCUCCAUC
Canis lupus familiaris (dog) is the source of this 2673-nucleotide long non-coding RNA. RefSeq lists it as uncharacterized. The record is from RefSeq and is a predicted model, not a curated record. NCBI's taxonomy places the organism in Eukaryota, Metazoa, Chordata, Mammalia, Carnivora, Canidae. The transcript has 2 exons.